Molecule: ribosomal RNA, 1329 nt
Filed under: Bombylius sp.
Lineage: Eukaryota; Metazoa; Arthropoda; Insecta; Diptera; Bombyliidae
Description: 16S ribosomal RNA
Source: RNAcentral
UUAAUAAAUUAAUAAUAUUCAUUCUAAAAAAUUUUAUAAUUCAAAUAUUUGGUCCUUUCGUACUAAAAUAUCUUAAUUUAAUAAAGAUAGAAACCAACCUGGCUCACGCCGGUCUGAACUCAGAUCAUGUAAGAUUUUAAAAGUCGAACAGACUCAAAUAAUAAGCUUCUACACCCAAACUAAAUCUUAAUCCAACAUCGAGGUCGCAAUCUCUUCUAUCGAUAUGAACUCUCUAGAAAAAUUACGCUGUUAUCCCUAAGGUAACUUAAUUUUAUAAUCAAUAAUAUUGGAUCAACAAACAUUCCAUAAAUCAAUGUAAUAAAUUAUUAAAAGUUAAAUAAAUUUUAAUGUCACCCCAACAAAAUACUCUCUUAAAUUAUAUCUGAAAUAAUCUAAAUAGUUAUAAAAAAUAAAAUAUAAAGAUCUAUAGGGUCUUCUCGUCUUUCAAUUAAAUUUUAGCUUUUUAACUAAAAAAUAAAAUUCUAUUAAUUUCCAUGGGACAGAAUGUGUCUCGUCCAACCAUUCAUACAAGCCUUCAAUUAAAAGACUAAUGAUUAUGCUACCUUUGCACAGUUAAAAUACUGCGGCCAUUCAAAUAAAUUUCAGUGGGCAGGUCAGACUUUAUAUUAAAUUCAAAAAGACAUGUUUUUGAUAAACAGGCGAACACAAUAUUUGCCGAAUUCACUAAAGAAACCUAAAAAAUAUAAUCACUUCACACAAAUUCAUAUACUAAUUUAAUCAUUAUUACUCACUUUCCAGUAUUCAAAAAGAAAUUUUAAUAUAUAAACAAAAGACAAAUAAAUAUUUUAAAUAUAAUAACAAAUUAUAACAUAAUUACUAAUGAAAGCUAGUUCUAAGCCUACAUUAUAUUAAAUAAUAAAUAUCUUAUUGACAUAUUAACCAGCUCAUCCCGACUAAUAUUAUUUCAAUUAAUAGCUAAACUUACUAAACAUAAAUUAAACCUUUUAUUAAAACUGAAUUAAAUUCAUUUCUUAAAAAACUAGAUACCACCAGAAACGAUAAACUUUUCAUUUCUAAUAAACUAUUAACUAUAAUUAUGAAACAUUAACAAUAAUAGCUUAUUAACUCCUCUGGAAUCGAGAUAAAUAUAUAAAUAUUAACUAUUUAAUUAACCCUGAUACAAAAGGUACAGCAAUUCAAGCUUUCUUAUAAAAUAAAAAUUUUUCAAUAUAUUUCAAUAAACCUUUACAGUACUAAUAAACUAUAAUUAACAUAAUAUGUUCAAUAUCAAUUACUAAAACGAAACCCUAUAAAAUUAUUCUUAAUAAAAUAAACAACAAUAAAAUAAUAAGAAUAAAUAAAUACUAA